This 164-nucleotide ribosomal RNA is filed under the name uncultured bacterium. RNAcentral's name for it is "partial 16S rRNA". It matches the Rfam family "Bacterial small subunit ribosomal RNA", at positions 355 to 511 of the family's 1533-position model. The record is from RNAcentral.
UAGGGAAUCUUCCACAAUGGGCGGAAGCCUGAUGGAGCAACGCCGCGUGUGUGAUGAAGGCUUUCGGGUCGUAAAGCACUGUUGUAUGGGAAGAACAGCUAGAAUAGGAAAUGAUUUUAGUUUGACGGUACCAUACCGGAAAGGGACGGCUAAAUACGUGCCAA